GCCAGGCGUAGUGGUGCAGGCCUGUAGUCCCAGCUACUCGGGAGGCUGAGGCAGGAGGAUCGCUUGAGCCCAGGAGUUCUGGGCUGUAGUGCGCUAUGCCGAUCAGGUGUCCUCACUAAGUUCAGCAUCAAUAUGGUGACCUCCCGGGAGUGGGGGACCACCAGGUUGCCUAAGGAGGACUGAACCAGCCCAGGUUGGAAAUGGAGCAAGUCAAAAAGAUAUUUGUUACUGAGCGGCUCAAAGAAUCACCAGAAUAGCAGACACCCACUAGAACCAAGAGAGGCUACCACUGCCAAAAGCAUGUU
Molecule: signal recognition particle RNA, 305 nt
Filed under: Suricata suricatta (meerkat)
Lineage: Eukaryota; Metazoa; Chordata; Mammalia; Carnivora; Herpestidae
Description: Metazoan signal recognition particle RNA (ENSSSUG00005003061.1)
Rfam family: Metazoan signal recognition particle RNA
About the family: The signal recognition particle (SRP) is a universally conserved ribonucleoprotein. It is involved in the co-translational targeting of proteins to membranes.
Source: Rfam by way of RNAcentral